GCAAGAAUCCUCCAUUGCAAAGUCAUUUUGAACAAUAGCCGACUUUAAAUUAUAGAAGCGGGUCCGCAGUACGUCUAGGUGUUUUCUCAAUUGAUUAUUAUUGAAAUUUAGAUCUGUCUGCUUAUUGAACUCAUCACGUAUGUGAUUCCAAGUUUUCUUAUCAAAAACAUUGUUUGGUCUAUUUCCAAGUUGAAUAUGUUUCACCACCAAGUCUG
RNAcentral lists this unclassified non-coding RNA (215 nucleotides) under Hevea brasiliensis (rubber tree). Lineage: Eukaryota; Viridiplantae; Streptophyta; Magnoliopsida; Malpighiales; Euphorbiaceae. The record is from RNAcentral.